RNAcentral lists this transfer RNA (66 nucleotides) under Ilythea japonica. RNAcentral describes it as "tRNA-Asp". The record is from RNAcentral. Lineage: Eukaryota; Metazoa; Arthropoda; Insecta; Diptera; Ephydridae.
AAAAAAUUAGUUAAAAUAUAACAUUAGCUUGUCAAGCUAAAAUUAUUAAAUAAUUAAUAUUUUUUA